This 72-nucleotide transfer RNA is filed under the name Candidatus Methanospirare jalkutatii. RNAcentral's name for it is "tRNA-Val". It matches the Rfam family "tRNA". Rfam says of the family: Transfer RNA (tRNA) molecules are approximately 80 nucleotides in length. Their secondary structure includes four short double-helical elements and three loops (D, anti-codon, and T loops). Lineage: Archaea; Methanobacteriati; Methanobacteriota; Methanomicrobia; Candidatus Methanophagales; Candidatus Methanospirareceae. The record is from RNAcentral. RNAcentral also lists the same sequence under 1 other name.
GGGCUCGUGGUCUAGGGGAAUGACGCCGCCUUCACGAGGCGGAGGUCGUGCGUUCGAAUCGCACCGAGCCCA